CGUGAUGCUGGAUACCAUACAAAACUAAAGCAUGAGACCACCUACAACCUACUGUAUUUCUUCCAACCAAAAGUUGAGAACAAGCGUCUGAUUACUGAUACAAACAAGUUCAGGUUCCACUUAUUUGAAGACUUUGAUGCCAACUGUGGUCUCAGAGUAAGGUUUUACACCCUCCACGUGGCCAAUUUCGCUACAGGAUGCUGUAGAUGUUGUUGGCCGCAUGAAGCUAAUCAAUUGCAACCUCUCUCAUUAACGGACCCGUACUUGAUGAAGUUGAUAGCUUCCACUCAGCGAGUAUUGGUUCACCUACAGCCAAGAGAGUAAG
Raphanus sativus (radish) is the source of this 325-nucleotide long non-coding RNA. RefSeq lists it as uncharacterized. The record is from RefSeq and is a predicted model, not a curated record. Lineage: Eukaryota; Viridiplantae; Streptophyta; Magnoliopsida; Brassicales; Brassicaceae. The transcript is spliced from 3 exons.